Molecule: ribosomal RNA, 427 nt
Filed under: uncultured archaeon
Lineage: Archaea
Description: bacterial SSU rRNA
Rfam family: Archaeal small subunit ribosomal RNA
Source: RNAcentral
UAAUACCGGAUAGAUCAAAGACGCUGGAAUGCCCUAUGAUCCAAAACUCCGGUGCCCAAGGAUGGGUCUGCGGCCUAUCAGGUUGUAGUGGGUGUAACGUACCUACUAGCCUACGACGGGUAAGGGUUGUGAGAGCAAGAUCCCUGAGAUGGAUUCUGAGACAUGAAUCCAGGCCCUACGGGGUGCAGCAGGCGCGAAACCUUUACACUGCGGGAAACCGCGAUAAGGGGACCCCGAGUGCCAGCAUCUAAUGCUGGCUGUCCCGCUGUCCAAACAACAGCGGUUAGCAAGGGCCGGGCAAGACCGGUGCCAGCCGCCGCGGUAACACCGGCGGCCCGAGUGAUAGCCGUUAUUAUUGGGUUUAAAGGGCCCGUAGCCGGCCUAUUAAGUCUCUUGGGAAAUCUGGCGGCUUAAUCGUCAGGCGUCC